Molecule: non-coding RNA, 113 nt
Organism: Ornithorhynchus anatinus (platypus)
Lineage: Eukaryota; Metazoa; Chordata; Mammalia; Monotremata; Ornithorhynchidae
Product: microRNA mir-1421al
Exons: 1
Source: RefSeq, marked provisional
AGGAUCCCAGCUGACCUAUGGCACGGUGUGAACAGGUUACAUGUGGUACAGCAUGAUAGUGGAAUAUGCUGCAUCACGUGUAACCUCCCCACACUGCACUGUGUCUCUCUGUC